CAAGUGCACAACCUUUCUGUUGCUGAUGAAAAUCGCAGAAAUGUGGGAAAGAAACGUAAAACAAAACUAAAAGAAUGGAAAGACAGGCAAAGGAAGAUCUUACGGGAUGCGGGAAAACCCUAUACAAAUCGUAAGGGUCAAGAAAAAACUGGGAAAAGCUGUCCAAAAGAGGGAAGAGCGUGUUCCACGACGUGCAGAAAGGAUUGUGGAAAGUUGACUGAUGAACGCAAGCUGCAUCUGUUCAACAGGUUCUACACUGUCCCAUACGAGAAACAACAAGAGUUGAUUCUCUCCGGCUUAGAACAGGUUAGAAAUAAGACAAAACGCCUAUUAUUAUAAUAGCUAUAUUGAACACUUGCAUAGUUUAACUUUGACAGUAAUGAUACGUACAUUAACGUUAACUCUAAAAGUGCUGUGUUACACAAUGGUGCAAUACAAACUCAUUCUGUGUAUAGAUUGGGAGUGUUUUGUAGUUCUAUGGUAUGUUCACAUUGAGGGCUUCAUUUUAAAUGAGACUAAGAUUUCAUGACUCAACUUUUAAGAAAAGUCAUCAGUGCUAAAGUUGAUAGACCACCUUUAAAUGAACCUCCAUACAAAUGAAUUAACUACAUAUUGCAUUUAAGUUAUUUACAUGAAGGGCAUCUGUACUUGAAAGUACUUAAAACAUCCUAUCAGGUGUUAAAAAAGGACAUCUUACAAGAGUCAUGCAAAAUGUCACAUAUACUGUUCUUCCACAAACUGAAAUCAUCACUGGAGAUAUACUGUUCUUCCACA
Non-coding RNA from Oncorhynchus mykiss (rainbow trout), 774 nucleotides. Lineage: Eukaryota; Metazoa; Chordata; Actinopteri; Salmoniformes; Salmonidae. The record is from RefSeq and is a predicted model, not a curated record.